GCCGAUGCGCCGCGCGGCGGCGGCCUGCGGCUGGCCGUCGAGGGCCUGGGCCAGGGUCUGGGCCUGCAGGUUCAGCGCCUGCACCGGCU
Molecule: transfer RNA, 89 nt
Filed under: Hydrogenophaga electricum
Lineage: Bacteria; Pseudomonadati; Pseudomonadota; Betaproteobacteria; Burkholderiales; Comamonadaceae
Description: tRNA-Ala
Source: RNAcentral